Molecule: long non-coding RNA, 566 nt
Filed under: Homo sapiens (human)
Lineage: Eukaryota; Metazoa; Chordata; Mammalia; Primates; Hominidae
Description: HSALNT0286500
Source: RNAcentral
GGGUUUUGAAGACAAAGUAAUUUCAAAAUUCAGGACACUAGCUGAGUCUAGUCUAAGUGUAGAGUCAAAGGCAAGGAGGUGAGGAACUCAUGGAGACUGCCCAGCUCUGUGCUGGUGAAAAGCAGCUACCUUCAGUUCUUCAUUGCCCUCAGCUCUAAAAUGGCCCAGUGGUUCAGGCUUUCUUUGCCUCUUGAAAUCAUCCUUAAUUUUUAGUAUUAACAGAUACUAGUGGUUCAGGGCAUGAGGUCCAAGUCAGUCACACAUGGACUCCAAGUCAGAAUUCCCAUCUUAGCUGUGGAACCUCAAAGAAUGUUUUGAAAUGAUGGCACCUUCUACCAAGAAGUGCUGGAAUGAUCAAGUGAGAUGUUACAACUAGGCAACAGCACAGAUUGUGGCACUAAAAAAGCCUUCAAUAAAUAAGAACAAGUAUUAUUCUACUCCUUGAGCUUACUUGUAUUCUUAAUGACUUCUGCAGUUCCAAAAUUCCUUGCUCUCAUGGAAAACAAACAUGCAGGCUUCUCUCUGAUCUGUGGAAGUGGACAGUGCAUAGAAAUACUAGCAGCAGC